AGCGAACGUUAGCGGCGGGCUUAACACAUGCAAGUCGAACGAGAAUGAGGGGGCAACUCCUCUAGUAAAGUGGCGGACGGGUGCGUAACACGUAGGUAAUUUACCUUCCGGCGGGGGACAACAAUCCGAAAGGAUUGCUAAUACCGCGUACGUCAGCGAGGUCUCCGGGCCUUGUUGGGAAAGAUGGCCUCUCCUUGGAAGCUAUCACCGGAAGAUGAGCCUGCGGCCCAUCAGCUAGUUGGUAAGGAACGGCUUACCAAGGCUAAGACGGGUAGCUGGUCUGAGAGGAUGAUCAGCCACACUGGGACUGCGACACGGCCCAGACUCCUACGGGAGGCAGCAGUGGGGAAUAUUGGGCAAUGGGCGAAAGCCCGACCCAGCCACGCCGCGUGAGUGAUGAAGG
RNAcentral lists this ribosomal RNA (403 nucleotides) under uncultured bacterium. Its description in RNAcentral is "bacterial SSU rRNA". It matches the Rfam family "Bacterial small subunit ribosomal RNA", at positions 29 to 414 of the family's 1533-position model. The record is from RNAcentral.